GGCGAACGGGUGAGUAACACGUGAGUAACCUGCCCUUAACUCUGGGAUAAGCCUUGGAAACGGGGUCUAAUACUGGAUAUUGACUUUACCUCGCAUGGGGUUUUGUUGAAAGAUUUAUUGGUUUUGGAUGGACUCGCGGCCUAUCAGCUUGUUGGUGAGGUAAUGGCUCACCAAGGCGACGACGGGUAGCCGGCCUGAGAGGGUGACCGGCCACACUGGGACUGAGACACGGCCCAGACUCCUACGGGAGGCAGCAGUGGGGAAUAUUGCACAAUGGGCGAAAGCCUGAUGCAGCGACGCCGCGUGAGGGAUGACGGCCUUCGGGUUGUAAACCUCUUUCAGUAGGGAACAAGGCCAGCAUUUUUGUUGGUUGAGGGUACUUGCAGAAGAAGCGCCGGCUAACUACGUGCCAGCAGCCGCGGUAAUACGUAGGGCGCAAGCGUUAUCCGGGAAUUAUUGGGCGUAAAGAGCUCGUAGGCGGUUUGUCGCGUCUGCCGUGAAAGUCCGGGGCUCAACUCCGGAUCUGCGGUGGGUACGGGCAGACUAGAGUGAUGUAGGGGAGACUGGAAUUCCUGGUGUAGCGGUGAAAUGCGCAGAUAUCAGGAGGAACACCGAUGGCGAAGGCAGGUCUCUGGGCAUUAACUGACGCUGAGGAGCGAAAGCAUGGGGAGCGAACAGGAUUAGAUACCCUGGUAGUCCAUGCCGUAAACGUUGGGCACUAGGUGUGGGGGACAUUCCACGUUUUCCGCGCCGUAGCUAACGCAUUAAGUGCCCCGCCUGGGGAGUACGGCCGCAAGGCUAAAACUCAAAGGAAUUGACGGGGGCCCGCACAAGCGGCGGAGCAUGCGGAUUAAUUCGAUGCAACGCGAAGAACCUUACCAAGGCUUGACAUGAACUGGAAAUACCUGGAAACAGGUGCCCCGCUUGCGGUCGGUUUACAGGUGGUGCAUGGUUGUCGUCAGCUCGUGUCGUGAGAUGUUGGGUUAAGUCCCGCAACGAGCGCAACCCUCGUUCUAUGUUGCCAGCACGUAAUGGUGGGGACUCAUAGGAGACUGCCGGGGUCAACUCGGAGGAAGGUGAGGACGACGUCAAAUCAUCAUGCCCCUUAUGUCUUGGGCUUCACGCAUGCUACAAUGGCCGGUACAAUGGGUUGCGAUACUGUGAGGUGGAGCUAAUCCCAAAAAGCCGGUCUCAGUUCGGAUUGGGGUCUGCAACUCGACCCCAUGAAGUCGGAGUCGCUAGUAAUCGCAGAUCAGCAACGCUGCGGUGAAUACGUUCCCGGGCCUUGUACACACCGCCCGUCAAGUCACGAAAGUUGGUAACACCCGAAGCCGGUGGCCUAACCCCCUUGUGGGGAGGGAGCUGUCGAAGUGGACG
Molecule: ribosomal RNA, 1377 nt
Filed under: bacterium
Lineage: Bacteria
Description: bacterial SSU rRNA
Rfam family: Bacterial small subunit ribosomal RNA
Source: RNAcentral